AUGUCUUUUCGAUCAUGAUUAACCACAUAAAGUACUUGUACUGAAAAGUUCACCUGAGGCUAAAAUUUCAAAAAAAUCUCUUGAUUUGUUUCUUAACUUUUAACUUCCCCUAGAGAGAUGUAAACAAUACAAUCUAUGGACAGAGUUCACCUAUGUCACAGGACUUGGUUAUUCUAACCAAUAAAAUCCUUCGUACUUUUAAUCAUCAAAUGAAUAAAUAAUGUUUCAACCCAUUCAUUUGACAUAACCCCAUCAAAAAACUUCAAACUAAGUUGCUUAUAU
Molecule: unclassified non-coding RNA, 282 nt
Filed under: Hevea brasiliensis (rubber tree)
Lineage: Eukaryota; Viridiplantae; Streptophyta; Magnoliopsida; Malpighiales; Euphorbiaceae
Source: RNAcentral